GAAUAUGAGAGAGAACCAAAUCACAAUAAAUCUUUAGCUGCAGGUGUGUGGGGCCUACACACCCAAACACACACAUACCCAACCAAAAAAAUCUCCCAAGCUCCUCUCUUAGAAUAUCCUCCGAAUCCUAAAUCUAGAGCUCCAAGGAUGCUGGUCAUUAAGAAAGGUAAUACCAAAGACUGACAGCUGUCUGGAUUCCCAGUAGUAGGAAAUCUUCAGUCACAGCCAGUUAAGAAUGGAACUGGUCCAAGUGUUUAUAAAGGUUUAGUCCCUAAACCUGCUGCUACACCUACAAAACUUACACAAUGGAAAAGCCAAACAAAAGAAAAUAAAGUUGGAACUUCUUUCCCUCAUAAGUCUACAUAUGGUAUUGGCUACUUUAAUGCUUUUAAAUCAACUGCCAAGAAUUUUAGUCCAUCAACAAAUUCAGUGAAAGAGUUUAAUCAUUCAAAUUCCUCUUCCUCUGUUGAUAAACUUAAUCAGCAGCCUUGUCUAACCAAACUGACAUGAAUGCAUACUGAUAAGAAGAGUGAAUUUUUGAAAGCAAUAAGAGACAGAGUAGAAGAGGAACAUGAAGAUGAAGGCCGUGCUGGCUCAGAGGGAUGACGACUCAUGUAAUUUACAUAACAGCAAUAGUACUCACCAAGAAAGGGAUAUAAACCAACACUUCAAUGAAAAUGAAAUUUCUCAAGAGAAUGGCAAUGCCUCAGUGAUUUCCCAACAGAUCAUUCAAUCUUCAACCUUCCCACAAACUGAUGUUCUUUCAAGUUUGCUUGAGGCAGAACACAGAUUGUUAAAGGAAAUGGGCUGGCAGGAAGACAGUGAAAAUGAUGAAACAUGUGCUCCCUUAACUAAGGAUGAAAUGAGAGAAUUCCAAGUUAUUAGUGAACAGUUACAGAAGAAUGGUCUUAGAAAAAAUGGCAUUUUGAAAAAUGGCCUGAUCUGUGACUUCAAGUUAGGACCCUGGAAGAACAGCAUUUUCAAACCCACAGUUGAGAAUGAUGACACAGAAACAAGUAGCAGUGACACAUCAGAUGACGACAAUGUGUGAAAGAUUUCCUAACAGCUUUAGAAAUAUUAGUGUGAUACAUUUCUCAUACAGCGUGGGGUGAAUUGUAAAAAUGAAGAACUAUCAUUUAUGUAAUGAAAUACCCCAUUAGAAGAGGAUUUUUUGGGGGACUUCAAUAUGAGGAAAACCAAGAAUGUUUUGUUGGGCUGUGUUGAACAUUAUUUCUUUGUAAAUGAAUGUUGUAGGAAUGAGGACUUUGGUCAGUUCAGCACUGACUUUCUGCAUCACUGCAGCAUUUCUCUGACUAGCAAUGUGAUGAUAUAACACAUGAGAUUUUCUCAUUUAAUAAUAAGAAAUUGUGUAAUGUUUUGCAAAGCUUCUGUCUUAAAAUGUCCAGGUCUUAAGAAAAAAGGCAGCUUACACUGUUUUGCUUGCAGAGUCUUACCUUUUGCGCACAAUGGAAAUCCUCAAGUCUACUUUGUGCGGUCCCCUCUCCUCCCCUCCCAGAAAAACAAAAAACCAAAAAGGAAAAUGUAGCAUGUGGGCUAAAACUGGAGCAAAGUGCACUAAAACAAUUUCCUGAACUCAGCUAUUGUACUAUUCACCUUUUAAAACAUAAUGCUCUUUAGCCAUUUGUAGUCCAGUAAAUGUUAUAGGAAAGACUUGUCACAUUUUCUUCCAAAUUUUAAGAGGUGAUUUUCAAAAGCUGUAUUUGGGUAUGUUGUCAGACCAGGGUUUUCAGAGUUGAUGAUGGAAAAGAGGCUUGUGGGAAAACUUAAAUUUGAUAAAUUAUUACACAUGCAGAAAAACUGAUCAUACUGACUGGAUCUGUCCAUGACAUGGAAAAUAAACUGGAUUUUCAGA
Callithrix jacchus (white-tufted-ear marmoset) is the source of this 1873-nucleotide non-coding RNA. The record is from RefSeq and is a predicted model, not a curated record. Lineage: Eukaryota; Metazoa; Chordata; Mammalia; Primates; Cebidae.